CGAAGCGUGGCUCAGUUUGGUAGAGCGCUGCGUUCGGGACGCAGAGGUCGCAGGUUCAAAUCCUGUCGCUUCGACUA
RNAcentral lists this transfer RNA (77 nucleotides) under Blautia obeum. RNAcentral describes it as "tRNA-Pro". It matches the Rfam family "tRNA". From Rfam's summary of the family: Transfer RNA (tRNA) molecules are approximately 80 nucleotides in length. Their secondary structure includes four short double-helical elements and three loops (D, anti-codon, and T loops). The record is from RNAcentral. RNAcentral also lists the same sequence under 23 other names. Lineage: Bacteria; Bacillati; Bacillota; Clostridia; Lachnospirales; Lachnospiraceae.